GAUGAACGCUGGCGGCGUGCCUAACACAUGCAAGUCGAGCGGUAAGGCCCUUCGGGGUACACGAGCGGCGGACGGCUGAGUAACACGUGGGAACGUGCCCCAAAGUGAGGGAUAAGCUCCAGAAAUGGAGUCUAAUACCGCAUAUGGUCUUCGGAUUAAAGUAUUUAUACGCUUUGGGAGCGGCCUGCGUACGAUUAGAUUGUCGGUGAGGUAAAGGCUCACCAAGUCGACGAUCGUUAACUGGUCUGAGAGGAUGAUCAGUCAGACUGGAACUGAGACACGGUCCAGACUCCUACGGGAGGCAGCAGUGAGGAAUCUUCCACAAUGGGGGCAACCCUGAUGGAGCAACGCCGCGUGCAGGAUGAAGGCCUUCGGGUUGUAAACUGCUUUUAUUAGCGAAGAAUAUGACGGUAACUAAUGAAUAAGGGUCGGCUAACUACGUGCCAGCAGCCGCAGUAA
RNAcentral lists this ribosomal RNA (459 nucleotides) under uncultured bacterium. RNAcentral's name for it is "partial 16S ribosomal RNA". It matches the Rfam family "Bacterial small subunit ribosomal RNA", at positions 28 to 523 of the family's 1533-position model. The record is from RNAcentral.